GAUAUGGAGAAGGAGAAUGAGCUUCGACUUCUGCGCAUCGGUACACUAUGGGGGCCGCCAUUUUAUCAGUUAACCUUAAAGUUUUGUUUACCUACGAGGUUACGACGUUGUUGAACCAGUUGUAAUUUGGAGUUAAAAUUAUUACUUAAUUUGUUUUACCGUUAGUGUACGUGUGAACGUGCUUGUUAGUGUUAAAGGACAUUAUUAUUGACAACAAACAUGUCUUGUACAGUUUCUCACUGUAAAAAUUGUCAACGAUUUCGUUCAGAAGGUGUAUCUUUUCAUCAGUUUCCGAAAGAUCGAAAACUUUUAAAAAAGUGGCUGAUUGUUGUGAAAAAAGAUGACAGCUUCAAACUGACUAAGUAUAAGCUGGUGUGCUCAGAUCAUUUCACAACAACUGAUUUCAUUGUUGUAAAUGAGUGAAAACGAUUGAAAUCGAACGCAAUUCCCAGUGUGAAUUUAGAUGAAAGUCUAGAAGCUUCUUCAACUUCAAUGAGUACUGUGAGUGCUACUUCAGCUGAUAUUUGAGAAGAGUCUCCAUCGAUUAUACCUCAAGGUGUAAAGAGGACAUUAAGUGCUGCGCAGAGAUACCAUGGAAAAAGCAGUAGCAGUACAAGUGGAAGUAAAAGCAAGAACUCAAAAAGUAGUUCUGACAGGAGGGAAGGUGAUAAGCUGGCGUUACAUAAAGAAACUACAUGAAUUACAAAAUGAUGAAUUCCUAAAUGUUGCAAACAAGUUGAAAAAGGCACAUUUGGAGUGAUGGAAACAUAAAAUGAAAUUCUAUUAUAGGUGAGUUUAGCAGCACAAACUCUUAGCAAGAGUUGCGGAUGCACUUGAAUUUUUAAAAGAUCUUGGUAUUAGUGAUUUUCAAGGUUGUGAAACAACAAUAGAAUUCAUCAGAAGGAUAGAUUCUUUAUUUGAUAUUCUCAAUUCCCGAAGUGUACGUGCUAAGAAUUUUAAGGCACCUUUGAGAGAAAACAAUGAAGAAAUGUGGCGUCCAUUUCUCAUCGACACCAGUGAGUAUCUUCUGAAUUUGAAGGAUGUCACUGGCGGGCCUUUGUGGUGCACGCCCCGAAAAACGUCAAUUCUGGGCUUUGUUAUUUCCGCUACGUCGUUCAUGGGAAUUUUUGAUGAAUUUGUUAGUAGUAAGAGGUUGAAUGACUUGCUAACAUAAAUGUAGUCAAGAUCAUCUAGAAAUUUUCUUCUGCUCAGUGCGGUAAGCUUUUAAAAAAACAAUUGUAUUACUUUUUUAUGCACUGGAAUUACACAAAUCUGUAUUUAUUUUUCUGUUUUCAGAUCGAGAAAUGGGUGAAACAAUAACCCUACUCCUCUACGAUUUUGUAAAACUUAGAAGAUUGCUUCUAUUUACAAACAUAACGAGGGAAGGAGGAAAUUGUAAAGUGCUUUGCACCACCUGUCUGCUCUCUGUUAAAACUGGCCCAAAGCAAAAGAGCACAAAUGUUCAACAAUCAGUUGACGUGUUUGUCUUGAAAAAAUAUGAUCUUGAUAUUUUGACUGAAGCACUUGCAGAUCAUGACUAUGACCGUCUAAGUUUAUUGGGCUGAGUGAAGUGGCAGAAAACGUGGCAUAUAUUGGUAGCUAUGUUGUCAAAAUGGUGGUGAAGACGUUUAAGUGCGCAGACUGCAUUUCUUCUUGUAUUGAAACAAGAAGAAGUGACUUACACUUUUACAGAUUAUUGGACAAAAAAAACAUGGGUGGGCUUAUUAAACCUUUUGCUGGGGUUGUGAAGACUUGUUGUUACUGUUAAUACGAAAAAUUUUGCAACUCACCGAUAAACUUCCAAGCGAUGAACAAUUUUUUAAAACUUUCGGCAUGCCAGCAUUCUUUUUCCUAAUUUAGAAGACCCACGCACUCGAGACGGUGGCCAUCGAUGAAGGCCAUUUAUAUAUUCUUAUUAAACAAAUAAUUAAUGCCUACAUGCGAAUAAGAAUGUUUCAUUUGAGCAAAAGACUUUCAUGUCUUGCUCAAGGCACUUCUGUUAGACAUGUGUACACAUAAUUAGUACUGUUUUCGCAUCAAUAAAUAUAUUGAAGUAUAA
Zophobas morio is the source of this 2059-nucleotide long non-coding RNA. RefSeq lists it as uncharacterized. The record is from RefSeq and is a predicted model, not a curated record. NCBI's taxonomy places the organism in Eukaryota, Metazoa, Arthropoda, Insecta, Coleoptera, Tenebrionidae. The transcript is spliced from 5 exons.